This 496-nucleotide ribosomal RNA is filed under the name uncultured bacterium. Its description in RNAcentral is "partial 16S ribosomal RNA". It matches the Rfam family "Bacterial small subunit ribosomal RNA", at positions 28 to 506 of the family's 1533-position model. The record is from RNAcentral.
GAUGAACGCUGGCGGCGUGCCUAAUACAUGCAAGUCGAGCGAACAGACGAGGAGCUUGCUCCUCUGACGUUAGCGGCGGACGGGUGAGUAACACGUGGAUAACCUACCUAUAAGACUGGGAUAACUUCGGGAAACCGGAGCUAAUACCGGAUAAUAUAUUGAACCGCAUGGUUCAAUAGUGAAAGACGGUUUUGCUGUCACUUAUAGAUGGAUCCGCGCCGCAUUAGCUAGUUGGUAAGGUAACGGCUUACCAAGGCAACGAUGCGUAGCCGACCUGAGAGGGUGAUCGGCCACACUGGAACUGGGACCCGGUCCAGACUCCUACGGGAGGCAGCAGUAGGGAAUCUUCCGCAAUGGGCGAAAGCCUGACGGAGCAACGCCGCGUGAGUGAUGAAGGUCUUCGGAUCGUAAAACUCUGUUAUUAGGGAAGAACAAAUGUGUAAGUAACUAUGCACGUCUUGACGGUACCUAAUCAGAAAGCCACGGCUAACUACGU